CCGGGGAUGAAGGCUGAGAGAACGAACACGUUCCCCUAUUUUCUCUGGAAUUAAACGGUGUCUGACAACAUAGAGCCUGUAGGCCAGAGCCGUCGGCUCUCGGAUGGAAGGAGCCACCGCAUGCUGGACCAUAUGCUGCAUCACAGAAUCAAUCUGCCGUUGCACCUACAGAUAACGAGCACCACCAAAGCAGUAGAGCAAGGUCAAAUGUGCGAAGAGAUACCUUUGGCCUUUUAAUUGUGUUUUCUCCGAUGCGUCAGGGGAAGUAGUUAUGUUGGAUUAGAAAGGGUCUCCGAUGAUCUCGUUUUUUUAAACGGAAUCGUGUGGGUUUUGUUUUUUUAAAAGGAAUCGUGUGUGUCUUGGUUUGUUCCUACGAAACCAAACGGCAAGCUAACGUGGUUGGAUUCAGUUCGUGAUUGUUGUAUGGAUGCCGAUGGGUGCCGUGGCAUUUCGUGAUUGUAUAGGAUGAGUUCGGCCUGCUGGCAGGGUGCUGGGCUUGCUAGGUGGUGAGACAGGGGCGUGGGAUCGGGCGAGGCGAGCGUGGGGUGAGGGAUCGAGCGAGGCGGGAAGGAAAGGUUGACAGGCGACGAAAACGCGUGGUGAAGGGAACGGUCAAAAAAAUUUAGAUAGAGAUAGGUAUAGAUUUGGUGUCAAAAUUUAUCCCAAGCAAAUAGGUAAUGCCCAAAAAUUUAGAUCUACAUGCCA
This 705-nucleotide long non-coding RNA is filed under the name Brachypodium distachyon (stiff brome). Its description in RNAcentral is "long non-coding RNA (BDIS_LNC002828)". Lineage: Eukaryota; Viridiplantae; Streptophyta; Magnoliopsida; Poales; Poaceae. The record is from RNAcentral.